GGGCCAUAGCCUGCCCAGCUGGGCUGCGUCCCGGAGCCCGGACCCUCCGUCUGGCAGGUACCAGUCCCCUCUCUGGCCCGGGUCAAACCCGCGAAGACCCUGGCGCCAUGUGGCGGGCGGCUGGGGCCGCGCUCCGAACCCCUGGGGCGCCCCGCCAGCUCCGGAGGGGCCUGUCCACACCGUCCCGUUCCUCGCAAAAGGCCGCGACCCUGGUCGUCACGCCCAAGGCUGGUCUGGCCGACGAGCUCCUGGACAUCAAAGCGGAAGGCUUGCGCCCUGGGGAGCGGGUGACGCUGAGGGCCUCGGCCGCCAGCCACCGAGGCCGCCUCUUCCACUCGCUGGCCCACUUCGAGGCUGACGCCCGCGGGGGGCUGGACCUGGCCAGGGAUCCGGCUCUGGGCGGCGACUUCGAGGGCGUGGAGCCCAUGGGGCUCCUGUGGAGCCUCACGCCGGCGGGCUCCGGGGGCCCCUGCCUCGGCCGGAUGCCCAGGGGCGUGUUGAAAAACCCGCUCAAAGUGGAGGUGACUGUCCACCGCGCGCCGCAGCAGCCGGAGGGGCCGCUGGGCCCGGCGCUGGCCUCGGCCCGGGUGCAGCGCUGGUUCUCCAGCCCCGAGCUGUCCCGCGUUCGGCUGCAAACGGGCCGCGUGCAGGGCAGCUUCCUGCUGCCCCCAGGAGAUGGUCCUUUUCCUGGUUUGAUUGAUAUGUUUGGAGACGGAGGAUUAAAUGAAUCUCGAGCGAGUCUCCUGGCUUGUCGAGGUUUUGCUGCUCUGGCUUUGCCAUUUUUUGGCUAUGAAGAUCUACCUCCAAUUAUGAAGGACUUAAAUUUAGAUUACUUUGAAGAGGCAGCUAAAUUUGUGCAAAGUCAUCCAAAGGUCAAAGGUCCUAACAUUGGAGUGAUUGGUUCUGGGAAAGGGGCAGAGUUGGCCCUUUCCAUGGCUAGCUUUCUCCCAAAUAUAGCUGCAGUUGUGAGCAUCAAUGGCUGCAUCUCUAACACAGCUACUUCCCUUACAUGUGGUGGACUGAUCCUGCCGGGACUGCCUUUUAACCUGGACAAAAUCUCUGCUACCAAUUCAAGGGCAUAUGAUAUUAAAGAAGCGCUGGAGGACCCCUUGGAUCCAGCCUAUCGGGAAAGCCGUAUCCCCCUCGAAAAAGCCAGUGCCCAUUUCCUUUUUAUCGUUGGAGAGGAUGACAGGCAUUGGAAGAGCUCUGUGUAUGCUGACAUAGCUGUGAAUCACCUCGCAGAGCAUGGGAAGACGAAUUUCACUCUUUUAAGCUACCCUAAUGCUGGCCACAGAAUAGAUCCCCCUUACAGCCCCUUUUUCUCUGCAGCCCUGGACCCGGUAUUGGGGGUUCCUGUUUUAGGAGGUGGGCAGCUCAAAGCUCAUGCUGUUGCUCAGAUUGAGUCUUGGAAGAAGAUCUUGGAGUUUUUGCACUUGCAUCUGGGGUAAAGUCUUGCAAACUAGACAGUUAAAUUUAGAAUAUGCUCAGAACAAAUUAGGGGACAGAUUGGAUAUUUUUGACAAAUGAUGACUGAGAUCUGGACUUCUCAUGGCCUCGGCAAGCUUUUAAAAGAAGUAAAAACACUCACUUCAAGUUCAUCAGAGCCUGUAGCUUCGGUACUAUCCAUGUUUCUCCAUGUUUGUUUGAGCUUGAACUCAAGGCCUGCAACAAGAGCAAGUGGACCCAAGCCAUAUUCUCUGGUGAACAGCUUUUGGAAUCUAUUUCGUCAUUUUGCAGGGUUUAAAAGAACAGAGAAAGGAUCCAAGUUAUAUAAUUCUUUUUCCUUUUCCUGUGUGAAUAUUUGUGUGUGUGUGUGUGUGUGUGUGUGUGUGUGUGUGUGUGUGUGGUG
Molecule: RNA transcript, 1849 nt
Organism: Myotis lucifugus (little brown bat)
Lineage: Eukaryota; Metazoa; Chordata; Mammalia; Chiroptera; Vespertilionidae
Gene: ACOT6
Gene name: acyl-CoA thioesterase 6
Exons: 4
Source: RefSeq, a predicted model, not a curated record